This 253-nucleotide ribosomal RNA is filed under the name uncultured bacterium. Its description in RNAcentral is "partial 16S ribosomal RNA". It matches the Rfam family "Bacterial small subunit ribosomal RNA", at positions 524 to 776 of the family's 1533-position model. The record is from RNAcentral.
UACGUAGGGGGCAAGCGUUGUCCGGAUUUACUGGGCGUAAAGAGCGCGUAGGCGGAAGGUUAAGCGUGGCUUGAAAGCCCCCGGCUCAACCGGGGAGGGCGGCUGCGAACUGGCCUUCUUGAGGUCGAUAGAGGAGAGCGGAAUUCCUGGUGUAGCGGUGAAAUGCGUAGAGAUCAGGAGGAACACCCGUGGCGAAGGCGGCUCUCUGGGUCGGACCUGACGCUGAGGCGCGAAAGCGUGGGGAGCGAACGGG